RNAcentral lists this ribosomal RNA (273 nucleotides) under uncultured bacterium. RNAcentral's name for it is "partial 16S ribosomal RNA". It matches the Rfam family "Bacterial small subunit ribosomal RNA", at positions 523 to 796 of the family's 1533-position model. The record is from RNAcentral.
AUACGGAGGGUGCAAGCGUUAUUCGGAAUCACUGGGCGUAAAGGGUGCGUAGGCGGUUUGAUAAGUCUGAUGUGAAAUCCUAUGGCUCAACCAUAGAACUGCAUUGGAAACUGUCAGACUAGAAUACUGAAGGGGCAGAUGGAAUUAGUGGUGUAGGGGUAAAAUCCGUAGAUAUCACUAGAAUACCGAAAGCGAAAGCGAUCUGCUGGGAAGUUAUUGACGCUGAGGCACGAAAGCGUGGGGAGCAAACGGGAUUAGAAACCCUAGUAGUCC